GCCAUUAAACUGGCCCAAUAUUGAUGAUAUUGAACCAGUGAGUCUAUUAUGCGACAGAUCAAGGGUUGCAAGAGUUUUCAACCUCUCAAUUGAAUAUGGAAUUGGACCUUGUAAAGUGUUCGUCGAGAGAUUAAGGUAUUCAAGGUGAUAACAAUUUUCAAACAACCAAUCAGGAAUAGUACUAUUGAAAUAGUUUAUUGACAGAUCAAGAGUUACAAGAGAAUCACAAUUCAGUUCAGGUUGUGGGGAUUUAGGUAGUUUGUGAGGUCGACAACCCGAUAAACGCAAUGUUUCAAGAGAAUGGAGUCUUAUGCUAAUAUCAUGAAACCAAUCAUUUUUGCAACUACUAAGAUCAACACCACUUAAAUCCAGAACUUUCAAGGACGAAAGUCCAUGAAGCCAUUUUAGACUAUUGACAUAGAAACCAUUUCCACUCAAAUCAAGUGAUUCAAGUAGAGAAAGGUUUCCAAGAUUAUCAAAGAGACUCCCCUUAAAAUUUGCAUGAGAUAGGUCAAGAUGUUUUAAAUUUAGCAUAGCACCUAGAAAAGAAGGCAGUGUAGAUUGCAUGAAAUCUAUGCCACUAAGGUUCAAAUAACUUAAAUAUGGCAAUUUUAGCAAAGAUGAACUUAAAUGACCUUGAAGUUUAUCUAUGGAAUUAGAAGAAUGGAGAUUAAGGGAGAUAACAUGACCUGUGGUUGUGUUACAUCCUACUCCUUUCCAAUGACAACAAUCAUUUCCAAGUAUCCAUGAAGAAAGAAGUUUUGAAGGGUCUUUCAAACCAUGCUUGAACUGAAGGAGUGCCUUUGCUUCACUGGCUAUGAACUGAGUGUUGAACCCUCCACCACAUAGAACGUGUCCAUGCAUUAGAAAUAGAAUUGCAAUAAAUUGAAGAUAUAUUCUAUUCGCCAUUAUUUUAAUCAUGAAACUUCUUAGUUUUAUAUCUUUUUCUUAAAUUUCUUGAAUGAGCACACCACUAUAUUUGUAGGAGUUUCAGUGCCUUAAUAACUAUGUUCAACUACUUUAUUUGUUGAAUAAUGAUAUGAGAAAUGAUGUUUAGACAUUAAAAUUUUGUUGAGCGGUAGUUGGGAGCAUUAUUGAGUUGGAUCAAAACACUAUUCCGGUUUUGAAUAUAAACAAAAAUGGUCCAGAUACAUAUUUUAUUCAAUAAACCUAAAAAAAUAUUUUUGCUUAUAUUCAAAAUCAGAGGGCGUAUUUGGUUAAGAGCAACCACACAAGUGAUUUUUGAAAUCACAUAUUCAUUUAAAACUUUAAGUCAUUAGAUUUAUGACAUCACAUUUUCACUUAAAACUUUAAGUCAUUAUAUUUAUGGGUUAUUUCACUUAUAUUAUUGGACCUCUACGUUUCCGAUCAAUAUGAAAUUUAACUUAUUAAUAUGAGAUUCUCAUUCAAUCCGCAUGGUUCAUCAUAAAUUCUCACUAAAUAUGUCUUUGUAAAAUCCACUUGCUUUUGUAUGAUUUGAAUUUAAUAAAAUAUAAAUUAAAUUGCUCUUUUAAUCCCAUAAAUGAGUGAUUGUAUGCAUGAUGAAAUACAGUUAAUUUUUUUUUGACACAACAUGAAAUACAGUUAAUUAGUAAGUAUAAAAAGAGAGUAUCUCAGCAUUGUAUGGAAAUUGUUGGUAAGUUUCAUCUCUCCUUCCUUAGUCUCCUGCAUCUUUAUGUGUGGAAUUGUUGGUACGAUUGUCUUUAUUGUUAUUAGCUUUGUUCUGUCUCAAUCAUCUUUAUUAGCUGAUAGUCAAUGUCUCAGCAGCAUUAGUAGAAUGAAUGCUCUUCUUUGUACUCGUAUAUCCAACGAAAUAACCAAGAAACUCACCACAGUGCGUGUCCAAGGAAAAUUGUCAGAACCGGACCGAACAUCAAACCGGUGAACUUAUCGAUUCAAGGUUUAAUUGGUCGGACCGAUGUUCAACCGGGUCGGACCGUUUUUAAUUAAAUAUAUAUUUUAAUUAUUAUAUAUAUAAAACUAUAUAAGUAAUUACUCAAUAUUCCAUAGUUUUACACAUUAAAAAGAUAAAAUGUCAUAACGUCAAUAUAAAAUAAAAACUUUAGUACAUUACACAUAAAAUUUCUAAUUCAAAACAAAUUAGAAAUUACAUAAUAAACUAAGUUUUAAAAAAUAUUCACAGACUAUUAAAAUUAGAAUCAUACAAAAUAUAUAAUAUAAUAUUUAUUGACUAUUAAAAUUAGAUACAAAAUAUCAAAACUAUUAACAAAAAGACAGAAGCAAAAUAUCAAAAGGGAAAUUGAAACAUAAAAAAGUGAGGCUAAAAAAAAUAUUAUAACAAAAAUUCACACAAAUGUUUGUUAUUUCUAAAAAAAAAAAAGUAUGAGGUUUGUAUGCACGCUUGUCUAAUAUGGAGAUAUUGUAUUUGCACCACACUAUUAGUCCUACAUUGCUUGUUUCACAAAAAUUUAAGAGGUAGCUUCACUAUAAAUAAAUUGGAUAAGAUGUUGUUAAAAAUCAAAGUGUUUGCAAAUGUUUGUGGGGUCAAGUGUUCUCUCAUUUAUUAAUGAGAUGAAUGUUUCCCAAUGCAAGUAUAAUAGUAAAGAAAUUAUAAAAAAAGUUUGAUUUGACCGAUUUUGAGCCGAUUUAGCGGUUCAAUGCCCGGUUUUUUGUUCCCCCGUUUUACCAGUUCGUUUGCUGCCCGGUUUUUAAGCCAAACCGAACCGUAUACAUGGCCGGUUUACAGUCCGACCGGCCGGUCCGGUUCUAACAACCUUGGUUAAAAGUUGUUGGUUUUUGCUUUUCCAGGAAAAAUAAUCUAAAAUGUUAGUAUUAUUUUGGAGGAAAAAACAAUGAAUACAAAAUAAUAGUUAAUUUUAAUUAACGGUAGCAAUCUUUGCAGCAAUCUAUUCUAUAUUAUAUAAGCUUCCAUCAAUGUCUCUGCGAGAUUGCUCUCGAUCCCUUAAAGCAAGUUUUUAAUGGAACUUUUGAUACUCCGACAUUUUAAAACAAAACUGGAGAAUGAAUUAAAGUGACACACUAAUAACUACUUAACAAUAGUUCAUGAUUCAUCACUAAACUAGUAGUUUAUUUCUAUUUCAAUGAAAGUUUCUAAGUCGCGUUGUGGUCAUUUUCAUUUACAUUGUGAUGCUUCGUAUUGUAAAUAGAUGCGGCCACAAUUGCAAUUGCCGAGGCCUCUAAAAUUUCGAUAUACUGUGGUUGCAAUUGUUGGCUGCAUUCAAAAACCACAAUUGCCAUACUAAAUUUUCUUAAUAAGGAUUUGAAUCAAAUUUUAAUUUAUAUAUGCCUGGCCUGCUUUGUGUUUUUUGGGUUCUGGUGUUUAUAACAGUUUGUAAUUCUGCCCCAUUUCAAGGCAUUCCUUGUGCUUGGAAUGGUUUUAUAAAUUCUUUUUAGCUAUUUCAAAAAAAUAAAAUAUAUAUACAUGUUUAAUUUAAUGAUCAGGUCUUAAGAAAAUUAUAAGCAUGUUGAAAAUUUAAUGAUAGUUACUUAGUUAGGUAUCUGCCUUGGAGUUUCAGCUUUACAAUUGUGGCAUUUGAAGAGAUUCUUCCAGAAGAAGCUUAUAUAGGUUAUUCUAGCAUCAAUUUUAUUGUACCAGUGAAACAUCGUCCAUAUUAUGACGUAGUAAGCCAUUGGAUGAUCAAAUUCAGCAUUAGCAAAUCAGUUUUAAUGAACAAACACAGAAUAAAGGGAGUGAUAUGUUUAAGGCUGAAAUUCUUUAUUCAAAAUCAUCAACACUCUGGAUACAAUUUUUGUGUCAUCUACUAUUUCUUAACACAAUAACAAAGCAAACAUAGUUUGGUUACAUGGGAGGUUGUUGAGCGUGAAGCUUCCUCCGCAAUUUAUUAUAUGCAACAACUACUGUGACAUAGAUCCUGUCAUUCAUGUUGCUUAGAAAACGGAAGUAAGCAUGUCUCCAAGAUGCAAUGAGUAUUAAAGAUCCCCAAAAUACCCAAAAUCCUGUGGAAAAUCCUAUUCCCAUGCUUANNNNNNNNNNNNNNNNNNNNNNNNNNNNNNNNNNNNNNNNNNNNNNNNNNNNNNNNNNNNUUCAUGUUCUUCACUGUGACUGCAAUGUGCAUCUUUAAACCAACUGUUUCUGGGGCAUGCUUUCUCGAGUGGUUCACCACAAAGGUGUGAGUUACCUUCAAAACAGAAUCCAGAAAGUGUUUGCAACUCAGUGCCGAUAGGAAUUUUCCCUGACAAAGUGUUGUAUGAUAAGUCCAACACAGCUAGCCGAUCCAUAUUUGCCAUGCUAGUGGGAAUGGCACAUGAUAAAUGAUUCCACGACAAAUCCAAUGUGUCCAAGUUUUUCAGUUAACCAAUAUUGGAAGGAAUAGAACCCACCAAUUGGUUCCUCGACAAAUUUAAUGAAAUUAAUUCAACUAGCUUUGCCAUUUCUACUGGAAUGCCUUCGGUUAAAUAAUUUGAUGACAAGUCAAUCAAUUUAGCAAGUCCAACUACACCACCAAUAAAAUACCAAUCCAACCCUUCCCAUGUAAUUGGAAUUGGAUACUUUGUUUUAGACUGAUAGAAGGAAAGACUUUCCUUAAUUGUAAGAAACUCCAUAUACGAUUUUUCGUUUACACUUUCAUUAGUAGCCAUUGCAGGGAAGACACAUCUUGGUAUCUCUCCUUUCAAUUGAUUCUCAGAAAGGUCUAAUAUAUGUAGAGACUUGAGUUGGCAUAAUGAUAUUGGGAUAUUUCCAUCAAAGGAAUUCCUACCCAAUAUGAGUGUCUUUAGGAUUUGCAUGUCUGUACCAAUCCAAGAUGGUAUGGGCCCUGAAAAUCGAUUCGACUGUAAAUCCAAUAAAGUCAUCAUUGUGCAAUUUCUUAGUGUGUUGGGAAUUUUUCCAGAAAGAUCAUUGUUGUACAUUAACAACAUGUGAAGAUUUAUCAGGCUACCAAAGGAAUCAGGAAUUGACCCAAUAAAAUUGUUAUUAGCCAGAUUUAGAAUGAUCAUGUUUGUCCCAUUUGUCCAACAAUUUGGGAUGACUCCUGACAAAAUAUUAAAAGAUACAUCAAGAAUUUCCAAUGAGUUGUUGAAAUCCAAUAUCUCACACACGUGUGAAAAUGUUCCAUAAAAUGAAUUGUUGGACAAAUCCAACAUCCUCAAGUUAGGAGGAAAACGGGGCAAGGGACAUAAGAAAUUAUUGUUGCUCAAAUCAAGUGUUUUAAGUUUCAGUUUUUGAGAAAAACCUUUUCCACAUCUUUUCAGUUCAUUGGUGGAGAGGUUCAUAUACUCAACAUUAGGUGACAAAUCCCAAAACCAAUUUGGCACGGUAUCAAAGACACUUGCAUUUGAUAUAUCAAUAUGGGAGAAAUUCUUCUGAGUUUGAAUCCAUUUUGGAAAUUGAGGUCCCAAAUGACAAUUUGCCAAACNNNNNNNNNNNNNNNNNNNNNNNNNNNNNNNNNNNNNNNNNNNNNNNNNNNNNNNNNNNNNNNNNNNNNNNNNNNNNNNNNNNNNNNNNNNNNNNNNNNNNNNNNNNNNNNNNNNNNNNNNNNNNNNNNNNNNNNNNNNNNNNNNNNNNNNNNNNNNNNNNNNNNNNNNNNNNNNNNNNNNNNNNNNNNNNNNNNNNNNNNNNNNNNNNNNNNNNNNNNNNNNNNNNNNNNNNNNNNNNNNNNNNNNNNNNNNNNNNNNNNNNNNNNNNNNNNNNNNNNNNNNNNNUAUUAUAUAUAUAAAAAUAUAUAAGUAAUUACUCAAUAUUCCAUAGUUUUACACAUUAAAAAGAUAAAAUGUCAUAACGUCAAUAUAAAAUAAAAACUUUAGUACAUUACACAUAAAAUUUCUAAUUCAAAUCAAAUUAGAAAUUACAUAAUAAACUAAGUUCUAAAAAAUAUUCACUGACUAUUAAAAUUAGAAUCAUACAAAAUAUAUAAUAUAAUAUUUAUUGACUAUUAAAAUAAGAUACAAAAUAUCAAAACUAUUAACAAAAAGAAAGAACCAAAAUAUCAAAAGGAAAAUUGAAACAUAAAAAAGUGAGGCUAAAAAAAUUAUUAUAACAAAAGUUCACACAAAUGUUUGUUAUUUCUAUAAAAAAAAGUAUGAGGUUUGUAUGUACGCUUGUCUAAUAUGGAGAUAUUGUAUUUGCACUACAUUAUUAGUCUCACAUUGCUUGUUUCACAAAAAUUUGAGAGGUAGCUUCACUAUAAAUAAAUUGGGUAAGAUGUUGUUGAAAUGUACAGUAAAUUAAAGUGUUUGCAAAUGCUUAUGGGGUCAAGUGUUCUCUCAUUUAUUAAUGAGAUGAAUGCUUCCCAUGCAAGUAUAGCAGUAAAAAAAAAUUAUAAAAAGAAGUUCGAUUUUGACUGAUUUUGAGCCAGUUUAGCGGUUCAAUGCCUGGUUUUUUGCUCCCCGGUUUUGUCCAUUUUUUUUAAAAAAAAAUCUGGAGCCGCUAAACCGCACCGUUCGAUUCACUGGUUUGACCCGGUUCGUGGCGGUUCGACCAGUUUUUUACCGAUUNNNNNNNNNNNNNNNNNNNNNNNNNNNNNNNNNNNNNNNNCCGACCGGCCGGUCCGGUUUUGACAACCGUGGUUAAAAGUGGUUGGUUUUUGCUUUUCCAGGAAAAAUAAUCUAAAAUGUUAGUAUUAUUUUGGAGGAAAAAACAAUGAAGAAUACAAAAUGAUAGUUAAUUUUAAUUAACGGUAGCAAUCUUUGCAGCAAUCUAUUCUAUAUUAUAUAAGCUUCCAUCAAUAUCUCCGCGAGAUUGCUCUCGAUCCCUUAAAGCAAGUUUUUAAUGGAACUUUUGAUACUCCGACAUUUUAAAACAAAACUGGAGAAUGAAUUAAAGUGACACACUAAUAACUACUUAACAAUAGUUCAUGAUUCAUCACUAAACUAGUAGUUUAUUUCUAUUUCAAUAAAAGUUUCUAAGUCGCGUUGUGGUCAUUUUCAUUUACAUUGUGGUGCUUCGUAUUGUAAAUAGAUGCGGCCACAAUUGCAAUUGCUGAGGCCUCUAAAAUUUUGAUAUACUGUGGUUGCAAUUGUUGGCUGCACUCAAAAACCACAAUUGCCAUACUAAAUUUUCUUAAUAAGGAUUUGAAUCAAAUUUUAAUUUAUAUAUGCCUGGCCUGCUUUGUGUUUUUCGGGUUCUGGUGUUUAUAACAGUUUGUAAUUCUGCCCCGUUUCAAGGCAUUCCUUGCGCUUGGAGUAUAUAUAUACAUGUUUAAUUUAAUGAUCAGGUCUUAAGAAAAUUAUAUGCAUGUUGAAAAUUUAAUGAUAGUUACUUAGUUAGGUAUCUGCCUUGGAGUUUCAGCUUUACAAUUGUGGCAUUUGAAGAGAUUCUUCCAGAAGAAGCUUAUAUAGGUUAUGCUACCAUAUCAACGUUAUUGUACUAGUGAAACAUCGUCCAUACUAUGACGCAUUAAGCCAUUGGAUGAUCAAAUUCAACAUUAGCAAAUCAGUUUUAAUGAACAAACACAGAAUAAAGGGAGUGAUAUGUUUAAGGCUUAAAUUCUUUAUUCAAAAUCAUCAAUACUCUGGAUACAAUUUUUGUGUCAUCUACUAUUUCUUAACACAAUAACAAAUUAAAGCAAACAUAGUUUGGUUACAUGGGAGGUUGUUGAGCCUGAAGCUUCCUCCGCAAUUUAUUAUACGCUACAACUACAGUGACAUAGAUCCUAUCAUUCAUGUUGCUUAGAAAACGGAAGUAAGCAUGUCUCCAAGAUGCAACAAAUAUUAAAGAUCCCCAAAAUACCCAAAAUCCAGUGUAAAAUCCUAUUCCCAUGCUUAUGUAGAACGGAUUUAUUUCCAUGCCCAUUCCUUUGUCUUCAUGGUUGCUGUCAUCUUCAUGUUCUUCACUGUGACUACAAUGUGCAUCUUUGAACGAACUGUUUAUGGGGCAUGCAUUGUCGAGUGGUACACCACAAAGGUGUGGAUUACCUUCGAAACUGGAACCAUAAAGUGAUUGAAACAGAGUGCCGAUAGGAAUUUUCCCAGACAAAGUGUUGUAUGAUAAGUUCAACAUUACGAGGAAACUCAGAUUAACCAUGCUAGUUGGAAUGACACUUGAUAACUGAUUCCUCGACAAAUCCAACGAUUCCAAGUUUUUCAUUUCACCAAUAUUGGAAGGAAUGGAACCCACCAAUUGGUUCCUCGACAAGUUUAACGAAUGUAAUUCAACUAGCUUUGCCAUUUCAACAGGAAUGCCUUCUGUUAAAUAAUUUGAUGACAAGUCAAUUAAUCUAAUAAGUCGAACUAAACGUCCAGUUAAAUACCAAUCCACCCCUUUCCAUGUAAGUAGAAGUGAAUACUUUGUUUUAGACUGAUGGAUGAUGGAAUGGGAAAGACUUUCCUUUACGCUUUCUUGGGUUGCCAUUGCAGGGAAGACACAUCUUGGAACCGCUCCUGUCAAUUUAUUCUGUGAAAGGUCUAAUAUCCGUAAAGACUUCAGUAGGCAUAACGUUGUUGGGAUAUUUCCAUCAAAGGAAUNNNNNNNNNNNNNNNNNNNNNNNNNNNNNNNNNNNNNNNNNNNCGACCCAAUAAAAUUGUUUUUAGCCAGAUUAAGAAUGAUCAUGUUUGUCCCAUUUGUCCAACAAUUUGGGAUGACUCCUGACAAAUUAUUAAAAGAUACAUCAAGAGUUUGCAAUGAGUUAUGGACACCCAACACCUCACAUACUUGUGAAAUUUCUCCAUAAAAUAAAUUGUUGGACAGAUCCAAAGUCUUCGAGUUAGGAGGCAAAUGAGGCAAGGGACAUGAGAAAUUAUUGUGACUUAAAUCAAGUGUUUUAAGUUUCAAGUUUUGUGAAAAAUCAUGUCCACAUCUUUUCAGUUCAUUGUAUGAGAGGUUCAUAUAGUCAAUGUUAGUUGACAAAUCCCAAAACCAAUUUGGCACUGUAGCAGAGACACUUGCAUUUGAUAUAUCAAUAUGGGAGAAAUUCUUCUGAGUUUGAAUCCAUUUUGGAAAUUGAGGUCCCAAAUGACAAUUUGCCAAACCUAUAGUUUCAAGUUGGAAAGGAGGGAUCCAAUUUUUGCUCAUGUUGAAUGUUACUUGAUGGUUAAAAGACAGAUCCAACACUUUGAGGUUGCUAAAGUUAGCUAGAUGAACAUCACUGAUAUUACCCUCCAAAUUGUUUUUAGCUAAAUCCAACACAACCAAUUUUGAUAGCUGAUGAAGACUUGUUUCCAAUGACCCAUUUAAUUGAUUAUUAGAAAGACGCAACACUUUCAAACUAUUUUGGCCAUUAACCUGGCCCAAUAUUGAUGAUAUUGAACCAGUGAGUCUAUUAUGCGACAGAUCAAGGGUUGCAAGAGUUUUCAACCUCUCAAUUGAAUAUGGAAUUGGACCUUGUAAAUUGUUCGUCGAGAGAUUAAGGUAUUCAAGGUGAUAACAAUUUUCAAACAACCAAUCAGGAAUAGUACUAUUGAAAUAGUUUUUUGACAGAUCAAGAGUUACAAGAGAAUCACAAUUCAGUUCAGGUUGAGGGGAUUUAGGUAGUUUGUGAGGUCGACAACCCGAUAAACGCAAUG
This 9441-nucleotide long non-coding RNA is filed under the name Trifolium pratense (red clover). RNAcentral's name for it is "long non-coding RNA (TPRA_LNC001248)". The record is from RNAcentral. Lineage: Eukaryota; Viridiplantae; Streptophyta; Magnoliopsida; Fabales; Fabaceae.